GACGAACGCUGGCGGCGUGCUUAACACAUGCAAGUCGAACGGAAAGGCCCUGCUUUUGUGGGGUGCUCGAGUGGCGAACGGGUGAGUAACACGUGAGUAACCUGCCCUUGACUUUGGGAUAACUUCAGGAAACUGGGGCUAAUACCGGAUAGGAGCUCCUGCUGCAUGGUGGGGGUUGGAAAGUUUCGGCGGUUGGGGAUGGACUCGCGGCUUAUCAGCUUGUUGGUUGGGUAGUGGCUUACCAAGGCUUUGACGGGUAGCCGGCCUGAGAGGGUGACCGGCGACAUUGGGACUGAGAUACGGCCCAGACUGCUACGGGAGGCAGCAGUGGGGAAUAUUGCACAAUGGGAGGAAGCCUGAUGCAGCAACGCCGCGUGCGGGAUGACGGCCUUCGGGUUGUAAACCGAUUUCGCCUGUGACGAAGCGUGAGAGACGGUAAUGGGUAAAGAAGCACCGGCUAACUACGUG
This 468-nucleotide ribosomal RNA is filed under the name uncultured bacterium. RNAcentral describes it as "partial 16S ribosomal RNA". It matches the Rfam family "Bacterial small subunit ribosomal RNA", at positions 28 to 507 of the family's 1533-position model. The record is from RNAcentral.